AGAGUUUGAUCCUGGCUCAGGGUGAACGCUGGCGGCGCGCUUAAUGCAUGCAAGUCGAGCGUGAUCGUGGCUUCGGCCACAAUGAUAAAGCGGCAGACGGCUGAGUAACGCGUGAGUAAUCUGCCCUCCGGUGGGGUAUAACCUCGGGAAACUGAGGAUAAUCCCGCAUACGACCUGCAUCCCUUGGGGUGCAGAUGAAAGGCUUCGGUCGCCGGAGGAGGAGCUCGCGUCCUAUCAGGUUGUUGGUGGGGUAAUGGCCUACCAAGCCGAUGACGGGUAGCUGGUCUGAGAGGAUGACCAGCCAGAGGGGGACUGAGAACGGCCCCCACUCCUACGGGAGGCAGCAGCAGGGAAUCUUGGGCAAUGGGCGAAAGCCUGACCCAGCGACGUCGCGUGGGGGACGAAGGCCUUCGGGUUGUAAACCCCUUUUCCGAGGGAAGAGAAAGGACGGUACCUCGGGAAUAAGCCCCGGCUAACUACGUGCCAGCAGCCGCGGUAAUACGUAGGGGGCAAGCGUUACCCGGAAUCACUGGGCGUAAAGUGCGCGUAGGCGGUUGGAUAAGUCUCUUGUGGAAGCUCCCGGCUCAACUGGGAGAGGUCAAGGGAUACUAUUCGACUAGAGGACAGCAGAGGUAAGCGGAAUUCCCGGUGUAGCGGUGGAAUGCGUAGAUAUCGGGAGGAACACCAGUGGCGAAAGCGGCUUACUGGGCUGUAUCUGACGCUGAGGCGCGAGAGCGUGGGGAGCAAACUGGAUUAGAUACCCAGGUAGUCCACGCCCUAAACGAUGGAUACUAGGUAUGGGGGGUAUUGACCCCCUCCGUGCCGUAGCUAACGCGUUAAGUAUCCCGCCUGGGGACUACGGCCGCAAGGCUAAAACUCAAAGGAAUUGACGGGGGCCCGCACAAGCGGUGGAGCGUGUGGUUUAAUUCGAUGCUAAGCGAAGAACCUUACCUGGGCUUGACAUGUUGGUAGUAGGAACCCGAAAGGGUGAUGAUCCGGGGGUAACUCCGGAAGCCUUCACAGGUGCUGCAUGGCUGUCGUCAGCUCGUG
Molecule: ribosomal RNA, 1050 nt
Filed under: uncultured bacterium
Lineage: Bacteria
Description: bacterial SSU rRNA
Rfam family: Bacterial small subunit ribosomal RNA
Source: RNAcentral